This is a long non-coding RNA of Heterocephalus glaber (naked mole-rat), 985 nucleotides long. RefSeq lists it as uncharacterized. The record is from RefSeq and is a predicted model, not a curated record. NCBI's taxonomy places the organism in Eukaryota, Metazoa, Chordata, Mammalia, Rodentia, Bathyergidae.
CGAAAAUCACAUUGUUCUAGCUUUUCCUCCUUAAGUUUUGCAAUGGCCAUCAGUUGAAUUGCAUUGGAAAGUCCAAAACAGACACUGAUUCAAAGGUCAGCAAUGACUCUUCCCCAGUGCUCUGGAAAACCUCAGAAGCAAGUGGUGUCCAGCCUGUGUGCUACUAGGAAGGCCAUGAGCAACUCUCCUCUGCCCAGGCCUUUCCACCAUGCUGCGUCUUCCCUGGAGCAGCGGACUAUGCCUGAAACCUCUACAAACUGUGAGCCAAAAUAAACCUCUUCUCCUUAAGUCGCAGGCAUCAGGCCUCAAGGCCAAGUCCAGCCUUAGUUGAUGGCCGCUGUGACUGACCUCGGGCCACCACCUCGUGAGAGACACCAAGCCAGAGCUGACCAACCAAGUCCCUUCCAAAUCCAUGGUGUACGGAAGUGGUGUGAGGAACUGCAUGGUCACUGCAUCAUCAUCACCACAGACUACCACGGGCCAGUGUCCCCAGUGGCCAUUCUGAUCUUGCCGUCUGUACAGCGACAACCUCUGUGUGGAAGUGCUGCUCUCUGGACUUUGUCAUUAUGGAUUUCGGUCAUGUUGUUAAUCCUGGGGAUUCCAACUGCACAACAGUGCUUCCUCCAUCACCCCUGAGCCUCUCCAUGCUUCUGGUGGCCCUCACCAGCAUUCCUUAUCAUGUUAGUGAAUGGAGCACCAUCUGAGCUCUCUUGGUCUUACUGAGUAAAUUCACUCUAGCUGUUACGACUCUGGGACACUGUCUCUUUCCUCACACUCCGACAAAGCAGUUCCAGCACCUGCACCUGUCGACUGUAGGCUGCCAUAGUUUCUGAGUUUCAAGAAACCAUUCUGGCAGUGCAUGGGGCCAGGUUCAGGGACCCUGGCCAGGUUGUUAAUUCCUGAGCCACAGAAGCAUGGCACUUCAUCUACAAACUCCCCUGCCCAGACUUAUCUCCCUUUCUCACUGCUCCCCACAACUUCUAUU